Molecule: small nuclear RNA, 190 nt
Organism: Oncorhynchus mykiss (rainbow trout)
Lineage: Eukaryota; Metazoa; Chordata; Actinopteri; Salmoniformes; Salmonidae
Gene: U2
Rfam family: U2 spliceosomal RNA
About the family: U2 is a small nuclear RNA (snRNA) component of the spliceosome (involved in pre-mRNA splicing).
Source: Ensembl
AUCGCUUCUCGGCCUUUGGCUAAGAUCAAGUGUAGUAUCUGUUCUUAUCAGUUUAAUAUCUGAUACGUCCCCCAUCGGGGGACUACAUAUUAAAUGGAUUUUUCGAACAGGGAGUCGGAAAUGGGGCUUGCUCCGUCCGCUCCACGCAUCGACCCGGUAUUGCAGUACCUCCGGGAACGGUGCAACACUU